Non-coding RNA from Trichodelitschia bisporula, 89 nucleotides. NCBI's taxonomy places the organism in Eukaryota, Fungi, Ascomycota, Dothideomycetes, Phaeotrichales, Phaeotrichaceae. The record is from the annotation of a GenBank genome assembly.
GGGCGCAUGUUCUAGCGGUAUGAUUUUCGCUUCGCAUUAACCAAGUGCGGGUAUGUGAAAGGUCCGGGGUUCAAUUCCCCGUGUGUCCA